GCUAGCAAUUGGACUCCAUAAUCUCUUUCCACACUAGCCGAGCAAUCUUUUCUCAGAUGCCAAGUGCAGGCGUGGGACUUUCACGUAAUCUUUUUCUAUUUCUUUUCUAAGAUAAUUAUUCUCCUUUUUCAAUCUUUUCUAAGUUGAAACCUCAUUAAAUUAAACAUGGUAGAAAAGCAUGUAACCAUCUCCCAAACUUCUCAAAGAUGGUUUAGGGGCCAGAAAAUGGUACGGUUCCUCUUGAGGAGUUCAAGUGGACCCUAUGAUAACUAGUCCCAUUGUAAUAUAUGUGCAUGCUUUCACGUAGGCUGUCCCACUUUACCAAGAUACCACCAAAACUAGCUCAGAUAAAAAUCCCAACUAAUAUAAUCAGAGCCUAUACUACAUCAAAUGUAUUGUUGUUGGUGGAGCUUCUGAGGCUUUAGCAUUAUAAUGGUGGAAAGAUGAGCAAUACUACUCUGACGUAUGACUUUUUCUUCCAGCUUCCUUUACAAAAGUGACUACCUCUGUGGGAGGUUGCUGUGCUACCAAGCCAUUAUUGCUUACCGACUCCACUUGGCUAUGGAUGUGACAGAAGGCUAUGCAGGAAUGUAUCAUGCAACAUUUGGAUGAUGCAUGAGGCAUGUAACCAUUGGCAGUGCUCUCUUUCUUUCGCAGAACCUGUGCUUUUUGAGCAGCACAAUCUACUCUUUGCUUUUAUUAUUUUCGCAGAAUCUUCGCCAUUCUUCUAUGGUGCCGAAUUACAGGAAGGUGCACAUCUUC
Molecule: long non-coding RNA, 762 nt
Filed under: Phoenix dactylifera (date palm)
Lineage: Eukaryota; Viridiplantae; Streptophyta; Magnoliopsida; Arecales; Arecaceae
Description: long non-coding RNA (PDAC_LNC001820)
Source: RNAcentral